RNAcentral lists this ribosomal RNA (216 nucleotides) under Campeiostachys nutans. RNAcentral describes it as "Elymus nutans partial small subunit ribosomal RNA". The stretch from base 47 to 216 matches the Rfam family "Eukaryotic small subunit ribosomal RNA", at positions 692 to 864 of the family's 1831-position model. Lineage: Eukaryota; Viridiplantae; Streptophyta; Magnoliopsida; Poales; Poaceae. The record is from RNAcentral.
GGGUUUACUCAUUGGUCAGGCUUAAUUGUCUGUACUGGUGAGAUGGAUCUCUACCUUCUGAGGAACUUUCAUGCCAUUUAUUUGGUGUGAUGGGAAAUCAGGACUGUUACUUUGAAAAAAUUAGAGUGUUCAAAGCAGGCCUUUGCUCGAAUACAUUAGCAUGGAAUAAUAGAAUGGGACAUCGGUUCUAUUUUGUUGGUUUCUAGGACCGCUGUA